Molecule: ribosomal RNA, 466 nt
Filed under: uncultured bacterium
Lineage: Bacteria
Description: partial 16S ribosomal RNA
Rfam family: Bacterial small subunit ribosomal RNA
Source: RNAcentral
CUACGGGUGGCUCCAGUGGGGAAUAUUGGACAAUGGGGGAAACCCUGAUCCAGCAAUGCCGCGUGUGUGAAGAAGGCCUGCGGGUUGUAAAGCACUUUCGGUUGGGAGGACUGCUUCUAGCACUAAUAUUGUUGGAAGUUGACGUUACCUUCAGAAGAAGCACCGGCUAACUCCGUGCCAGCAGCCGCGGUAAUACGGAGGGUGCAAGCGGUUAAUCGGAAUUACUGGGCGUAAAGCGCGCGUAGGCGGCUAGAUCAGUCGGGUGUGAAAGCCCCGGGCUUAACCUGGGAACUGCAUCCGAUACUGUCUAGUGUGAGUACAGGAGAGGAGAGUGGAAUUCCACAUGUCGCGGUGAAAUGCGUAGAUAUGUGGAGGAACACCAAUGGCGAAGGCAGCUCUCUGGCCUGAUACUAACGCUGAGGUGCGAAAGCGUGGGGAGCAAACAGGAUUAGAUACCCUAGUAGUC